GGCGACGUGGCCGAGUGGUUAGGCAGAGGCCUGCAAAGCCUUGUACUCCGGUUCAAAUCCGGACGUCGCCU
This 71-nucleotide transfer RNA is filed under the name Mucispirillum schaedleri. RNAcentral describes it as "tRNA-Cys". It matches the Rfam family "tRNA". Rfam says of the family: Transfer RNA (tRNA) molecules are approximately 80 nucleotides in length. Their secondary structure includes four short double-helical elements and three loops (D, anti-codon, and T loops). Further hydrogen bonds mediate the characteristic L-shaped molecular structure. tRNAs have two regions of fundamental functional importance: the anti-codon, which is responsible for specific mRNA codon recognition, and the 3' end, to which the tRNAs corresponding amino acid is attached (by aminoacyl-tRNA synthetases). tRNAs cope with the degeneracy of the genetic code in two manners: having more than one tRNA (with a specific anti-codon) for a particular amino acid; and 'wobble' base-pairing, i.e. permitting non-standard base-pairing at the 3rd anti-codon position. RNAcentral also lists the same sequence under 3 other names. Lineage: Bacteria; Pseudomonadati; Deferribacterota; Deferribacteres; Deferribacterales; Mucispirillaceae. The record is from RNAcentral.